Long non-coding RNA from Dioscorea cayenensis subsp. rotundata (Guinea yam), 475 nucleotides. RefSeq lists it as uncharacterized. The record is from RefSeq and is a predicted model, not a curated record. Lineage: Eukaryota; Viridiplantae; Streptophyta; Magnoliopsida; Dioscoreales; Dioscoreaceae. The transcript is spliced from 2 exons.
GAGGACCCAGCGCCUCAAGCGCGACAUGGAUCUCUCCAUGAAGCAUGAGUACUUGAGCAAAGAUCUGCAGAUAUGCUCAACAAGGGCUUCGUCCUUGAUGCCCUCACCUACUACUCUCUCCUCAACAGUCUCUGCCGCAAGAAACGGCUCCGCGAGGCCGUCAGGUGUUGGAGGAGAUGUUGAAGCUUAUCUAAUUGUUGCAUGUUAUCUGCAUUUCAGUUGUGGAAGCUGCCAAAGCAACGUUCUAAAAUUGCGAGGCAAUCUAAUUUGAACUGUAUAUCUUUGAAUGAAAACAAAGGCUUUGUAAACAUUACAGUUCAAAUGGACAAUUUCAGAAGGUCUGGAGAUGAAAGAAUCUAAAAUCUGUUGAAGAAAUGCUAGAAACUAUGUAUACAAUUUCACAAAUGUAUUAUCCUGGAAAAAAAAUUCACUUUGUAAACAAUUUCACAAAUGUAAACAAUUUCGGUUCAAAGUU